Molecule: ribosomal RNA, 495 nt
Filed under: uncultured bacterium
Lineage: Bacteria
Description: partial 16S ribosomal RNA
Rfam family: Bacterial small subunit ribosomal RNA
Source: RNAcentral
GACGAACGCUGGCGGCGUGCCUAAUACAUGCAAGUAGAACGCUGAAGGAGGAGCUUGCUUCUCUGGAUGAGUUGCGAACGGGUGAGUAACGCGUAGGUAACCUGCCUGGUAGCGGGGGAUAACUAUUGGAAACGAUAGCUAAUACCGCAUAAUAUUGACUAUUGCAUGAUAGUCAGUUGAAAGGUGCAACUGCACCACUACCAGAUGGACCUGCGUUGUAUUAGCUAGUUGGUGGGGUAACGGCUCACCAAGGCGACGAUACAUAGCCGACCUGAGAGGGUGAUCGGCCACACUGGUACUGAGACACGGCCCAGACUCCUACGGGAGGCAGCAGUAGGGAAUCUUCGGCAAUGGACGGAAGUCUGACCGAGCAACGCCGCGUGAGUGAAGAAGGUUUUCGGAUCGUAAAGCUCUGUUGUAAGAGAAGAACGAGUGUGAGAGUGGAAAGCUCACACUGUGACGGUAGCUUACCAGAAAGGGACGGCUAACUACGUG